This 692-nucleotide ribosomal RNA is filed under the name uncultured bacterium. RNAcentral's name for it is "bacterial SSU rRNA". It matches the Rfam family "Bacterial small subunit ribosomal RNA", at positions 606 to 1297 of the family's 1533-position model. The record is from RNAcentral.
GGCUUAACUGGGGGCGUGCGGUGGGUACGGGCUGACUUGAGUGCGGUAGGGGAGACUGGAACUCCUGGUGUAGCGGUGGAAUGCGCAGAUAUCAGGAAGAACACCGGUGGCGAAGGCGGGUCUCUGGGCCGUUACUGACGCUGAGGAGCGAAAGCGUGGGGAGCGAACAGGAUUAGAUACCCUGGUAGUCCACGCUGUAAACGUUGGGCACUAGGUGUGGGGGCCACCCGUGGUUUCUGCGCCGUAGCCAACGCUUUAAGUGCCCCGCCUGGGGAGUACGGCCGCAAGGCUAAAACUCAAAGGAAUUGACGGGGGCCCGCACAAGCGGCGGAGCAUGCGGAUUAAUUCGAUGCAACGCGAAGAACCUUACCAAGGCUUGACAUGCACGGCGACACUGCAGAGAUGUGGUGGCAUUUAGUUGGUCGUGUGCAGGUGGUGCAUGGUUGUCGUCAGCUCGUGUCGUGAGAUGUUGGGUUAAGUCCCGCAACGAGCGCAACCCUUGCCCUAUGUUGCCAGCACGUGAUGGUGGGGACUCGUGGGGGACUGCCGGGGUUAACUCGGAGGAAGGUGGGGAUGACGUCAAAUCAUCAUGCCCCUUAUGUCUUGGGCUUCACGCAUGCUACAAUGGUUGGUACAGAGGGUUGCGAAAUCGUGAGGUGGAGCGAAUCCCUUAAAGCCAGUCUCAGUUCGGA